AUGGAUCCGAUCAACGAGCCCCUUCUCUCUUUUCCACCACAAAGAAACUGUUCCCUGAGCAAAGUUCUCUUGGUCACACCGAUCUUUCUGGCUACUCUGCUUUGCUUUUGCUUCGCCGCCUUCCUCGUCCUCAGCCCUGCCACGGUCACGGUGGACCUCUGCACGAACUCCCCGGACCCGGCCUCGUGCCACGCCAUCGUCGCCGACGCCGUCCUGACGUCUCCGGACGCCCACCCGAGCCGACCGGCGCAAGUGCUUCCCGCAAUAAUCGACAGGUCCCUCCACCAGCAUGACGCGGCCGCCGUUGCGGUGGCCGCCAUGCACUGGCGCGCCAGCGACCCCAGGCAGCGCGCGGCGCUCGCCGACUGUGUCCAGCUAAUGGAGCUCGCGCGCGACCGUCUCGCCGGCGCGGUGGACCACGCCUCGGUGGCGCCCGAAGACGCGCGCACGUGGCUCAGCGCGGUGCUCACCGACUACGUGACGUGCCUAGACGGCCUCGACGACGGGCCACCGCGCGACGCCGUGGGGGCGCAGCUGGAGCCACUCAUGUCCCUCGCGAGCGCGUCGCUCGCCGUACUCAACGCCGUGGAUUCUGACACGGCUGCCGACGACAUGCUCGCCGAGGCAGUAGACGAGCUUCCAUCGUGGGUGCCGAGUGCAGACCGUGCGCUCCUAGAAGGAUCCCGCGCCGUUCAGGCGGACGUGGUGGUGGCCAAGGACGGGAGUGGCAAGUACAAUACGGUGCAGGCGGCGGUGGACGCGGCCCCGGACCGCGGCAAGCGCCGGUACGUGAUCUACGUGAAGAAGGGGGUGUACAAGGAGAACCUGGCGGUGUGGAAGAAGAAGCGCGAGCUGAUGAUCGUCGGGGACGGCAUGGACGCGACGGUGAUCACCGGCAGCCGCAACGUGGUCGACGGCGCCACCACUUUCAACUCGGCCACUCUAGCCGUGGCAGCCGACGGAGUCAUCCUACAGGACCUCAGGAUCGAGAACACGGCGGGGCCCGAGAAGCACCAGGCGGUGGCCCUGCGCGUGAGCGCCGACCGCGCCGUCAUCAACCGCUGCCGCGUCGACGGCUACCAGGACACCCUCUACGCGCACCAGCUGCGGCAGUUCUACCGCGACUGCUUCGUCUCCGGCACCGUCGACUUCGUCUUCGGCAACGCGGCGGCCGUGCUCCAGAACUGCGUGAUCACCGCGCGCCGGCCCGCGCGCGGGCAGAAGAAUGCGGUCACCGCGCAGGGCAGGACGGACCCGAACCAGAACACCGGCACGUCCCUGCAGCGGUGCCGCGUCGUGCCGGCGGACGACCUGGCGCCCGUGGCCGAGGCGUUCCCGACGUUCCUGGGCCGGCCGUGGAAGGCCUACUCGCGCACGGUGUACAUGCAGUCGUACCUGGGCGCGCACGUCCACCCGAGGGGGUGGCUGGAGUGGAACGGGGACUUCGCGCUCAACACGCUCUUCUACGGGGAGUACGCGAACGAGGGGCCCGGGGCCGGCACGGCCGGGCGCGUCAAGUGGCCGGGGUACCGCGUCAUCACGGACGGGAGCGUGGCCGAGCAGUUCACCGUGGGGCAGUUCAUCCAGGGCGGCUACUGGCUCAAGGGCACAGGUGUGGCGUACGAUGAUGGGCUCUGA
RNAcentral lists this ribosomal RNA (1638 nucleotides) under Triticum aestivum (bread wheat). RNAcentral's name for it is "partial small subunit ribosomal RNA". Lineage: Eukaryota; Viridiplantae; Streptophyta; Magnoliopsida; Poales; Poaceae. The record is from RNAcentral.